GGACACCGUCAGUAAGAGUAGGGGGUCUCUCCUGUGUGCUGGAGGGGGUCUCUCCUGUGUGCUGGAGGGGGUCUCUCCUGUGUGCGGGGGGCUGGAGGGGGUCUCUCCUGUGUGCGGGGGGCUGGAGGGGGUCUCUCCUGUGUGCUGGAGGGGGUCUCUCCUGUGUCCGGGGGGCUGGAGGGGGUCUCUCCUGUGUCCGGGGGGCUGUGCUUCAGCUCUGUGGUUCCCCCCUCCUCAGGCUUGCCAGCGGGGUUCCCAGCUCUGAGACGAACCGAGAGAGGAGAGCUGCUGAGACAGAGCGAGGAGACUGAGCAGAUGGGGGGGGCGGAACCCAGCUCGCCGGGCAGUCGUGGCCGGAGGACGCAUUUCCAGGACGGACCGCGGCAGGAAGUGACGCCACAAUGGACCCCUCCGGGAAACACUGGGCUGGACGUCUCGGAGCUGAGGAGCAAACUGAGGAAGACACAGGGGGACUGAGGAAGAGCGGGAGAGACUGAGGAAGAGGAGGAGAGACUGAGGAAGACAGAAAGACUGAGGAAGAGCAGGAGAGACUGAGGAGGACAGAGAGACUGAGGAAGACACAGGGGGACUGAGGAAGAGCUGGAGAGACUGAGGAAGACACAGGGGGGCUGAGGAAGAGCAGGAGAGACGAAGGAAGAGC
RNAcentral lists this long non-coding RNA (661 nucleotides) under Lepisosteus oculatus (spotted gar). RNAcentral describes it as "lncRNA (ENSLOCG00000021603.1)". The record is from RNAcentral. Lineage: Eukaryota; Metazoa; Chordata; Actinopteri; Semionotiformes; Lepisosteidae.